GAUCAUGGCUCAGAGUGAACGCUGGCGGCAGGCCUAAUACAUGCAAGUCGAACGGCAGCACAGUGGAGCUUGCUCCAUGGGUGGCGAGUGGCGGACGGGUGAGGAAUACAUGGGAAUCUGCCCAGUCGUGGGGAUAACGUAGGGAAACUUACGCUAAUACCGCAUGCGCCCUUCGGGGGAAAGCCGGGGACCGUAAGGCCUGGCGCGAUUGGAUGAGCCCAUGUCGGAUUAGCUAGUUGGCGGGUAAAGGCCCACCAAGGCGACGAUCCGUAGCUGGUCUGAGAGGAUGAUCAGCCACACUGGAACUGAGACACGGUCCAGACUCCUACGGGAGGCAGCAGUAGGGAAUAUUGGACAAUGGGCGCAAGCCUGAUCCAGCCAUGCCGCGUGAGUGAAGAAGGCCCUCGGGUUGUAAAGCUCUUUUGUCCGGAAAGAAAAGCGCCGGGUUAAUACCCUGGUGUCCUGACGGUACCGGAAGAAUAAGCACCGGCUAACUUCGUG
RNAcentral lists this ribosomal RNA (501 nucleotides) under uncultured bacterium. RNAcentral describes it as "bacterial SSU rRNA". It matches the Rfam family "Bacterial small subunit ribosomal RNA", at positions 15 to 507 of the family's 1533-position model. The record is from RNAcentral.